RNAcentral lists this ribosomal RNA (252 nucleotides) under uncultured bacterium. RNAcentral describes it as "partial 16S ribosomal RNA". It matches the Rfam family "Bacterial small subunit ribosomal RNA", at positions 524 to 776 of the family's 1533-position model. The record is from RNAcentral.
UACAGAGGGGGCAAGCGUUGUUCGGAAUUACUGGGCGUAAAGGGCGCGUAGGCGGCCUCUUAAGUCGAACGUGAAAUCCCCGGGCUCAACCCGGGAACUGCGUCCGAUACUGGGAGGCUUGAAUCCGGGAGAGGGAUGUGGAAUUCCCGGUGUAGUGGUGGAAUGCGUAGAGAUCGGGAGGAACACCAGUGGCGAAGGCGGUGGCCUGGACCGAUGCUGACGCUGAGGCGCGAAGCGUGGGGAGCGAUCCGG